Molecule: long non-coding RNA, 953 nt
Organism: Brassica oleracea var. oleracea
Lineage: Eukaryota; Viridiplantae; Streptophyta; Magnoliopsida; Brassicales; Brassicaceae
Exons: 6
Source: RefSeq, a predicted model, not a curated record
UGAAGAAGGACCGUUCUGGGAGUUUGCUCACACCUCUAUUCCGCCACUUGGAGCUUGAUCUCAGCCCCUACCAGUGUAACGAAACCACGCAGUUCAUUCAUGUUCCAUACCUGAUCAACUGCCAGAUUCUCCGCGACGAGACGACCUACAGUCUGAAAAGUCUGAAAAGGAGAAGGGUAAACGUAAUCUCUAUGUGGGAUUCAAGCCUUGAAUUACCGCAAGGAUCAUAUGGAGAUCUUAUCACCUAUCAAAGAUGGUAUUGUUUCUGAUUGGGAUUUGGAGACUGACGGAAGAAGAAGCGGAGUGGUGUUGGAGAUGGCUGAGGAAGAAGACGCGACGGCAAAAAGAAGCUGAGAUCCUUGAAAUAGGAAAAAGAAGAAUGAUAGUUGCAGAUCCUAAAGGUAAGAAUCAGUUCUCAUCACUUGCUUACACUCUAUUCACUGUCUUUUACGGUUAACUACUAGAGUUGAACAUAAAGGUCUGAACUUUGGAUGGAGAUACUCUCAAAAUGGGGUGAAUCUGGGAGGAAUCUCCAUUGCUGCCUAUUUGUUUCUCUCCAUAUCUCUCGUGUCUUACUAACUGAGAGAUUCAAGACUAGAUCUCUCCUGGGAGUGGCAGAAGAAUGAGAGUCACAGAUUCUCAUGAUUCUCUGCGAUGUGUAAUGAGUCUGACUUGAAACGUCUAUGUGCUGUGUAAUGAUCUGACUUCAAGAUAGUGAAGUGAUUCUCUAGUAAGACUUUUCUCGAGUGUUGGUACUAAAUGAAGCUGAGAAGCUCUCACGAGAAGCACACUUGCCAGUUCUUGACAGUUCCUCGGCAAGAUGGCGGAAUUUGCAGACAAAUGCACACACCAACGAAGUUUUAUGUAUUGCGGCAUGAUCUCAGCAGUGGUAGGAGGUAUAAUACCUAUAUCGCCUUAUACCACCGUAGAUGACAAAGCUCUAACUGCAGAAA